This 69-nucleotide transfer RNA is filed under the name Cryptotermes bracketti. RNAcentral's name for it is "tRNA-Gln". It matches the Rfam family "tRNA". From Rfam's summary of the family: Transfer RNA (tRNA) molecules are approximately 80 nucleotides in length. Their secondary structure includes four short double-helical elements and three loops (D, anti-codon, and T loops). Lineage: Eukaryota; Metazoa; Arthropoda; Insecta; Blattodea; Kalotermitidae. The record is from RNAcentral.
UGUAUUUUGGUGUAUGGUGCACGUGAGCUUUUGGUGCUUUUGGUGUUAGUUUAAUUCUGACAGGUACAA